GUGGCCCCUUCUCAGAGGGGCCCGGCACCAACCAGGGGAGCUGCUCCUCAGAGCCCAUUUCUGCCCAAAGUGAGGUGGAUGUGCUGGGACUCUCGGGAGAAAACUUGCAUCUGGUCUGCGAGGUCCUGGUGGUCGGCGAGAAGGGGGUGCUCAGCUUGAGGAAGGAUCUGGAAAGCAGGAGGGAUGCCACGACUGGGCUCUGAGAAGGAUGGCGCACGAAAGCAGUGCCAGGGACAGUGGUGAUGGGAGCGCACGGCCUACCGCUGGGUUCGUACACUUGGAAAUGGUUCAAAUGGCAAGUUUUAUGUUACAUACAUUUCACCACAAUUCUUUCAAAAAAGCCCUGUUGGGCCAUAUUGGAACCUGAGGCAAAAGGAAAAGUCAGGAAUUCUGAUCAUGUCUGGAUUUAAAAUCUUGCUGUUUUGUUUAUCACCCAAAAAGGGGGGUGAGUAAAGUGCCUGGCCCAGAGUGAAGUGCAGACUAAAUGCUGUUAUUACACUAACACUGUUAAUAUUUCUCCUGGAGGGAGGCGAUUUUAGGAGUUUCACUGGCUGCCACCAGGGGGAGCGCCGGCCCAGCCUCUCCUGGGGUCCCGGGAUCCGCGCGUGGCGCUGCAGGAAAGAGGCAAGAGUGAAGCCGAGUGGAGGAGAAGGUGCUGGUGCCGGGAAUAUGUGCAGCUGGGUCCCCCUGGGAUCCAAGGCAUUUGCAGACCCAGCUGGCAGUGACUGAGGGAUUCAUGAUGAAGGCAUCUUCGGGGACAGCCAGCAGCCUGUGGGAGGAAGCCCGGGGACAGGGCAUUUCCCCGCCACGUCCACAUGCCUCACACCGGACCUUGUAAACUCAAGCUCCGGAUCGCACCCAGGAAGGCCGGGAAGAGAAGCCCCAUAUUUGGCUUGGGACAAAGCUGCUUUCCGAGCUGCUGCUAUUUGGGGUCUCCCUGACACCAGGAGAUGCCAGCUGCCUCGCGUCAGAGGACAGGAAACUGCGGAAUCUCCAGAAUCCUUUGUUUUCUUCUUAGCACUUCCCCAAAGUCGCUCCUCUCCUGUGCAGGGGUCUGUCUGUGCGUGGCCCUCCCUCUGGGGAGGCUGAGUUGUCACUUCUCCAUCAGAGGAAGAUAGUUUGUCUCUGAACAAAGUGUCCUGACUGCAGAUGGGGUCCCAGGGGAGGUGUGCGUGAGCAGAUUACUCGGAAACGAGUUACUCCUCUUCCCAUUAAAAUAUUCCGUUAAUUA
Molecule: long non-coding RNA, 1231 nt
Organism: Lemur catta (Ring-tailed lemur)
Lineage: Eukaryota; Metazoa; Chordata; Mammalia; Primates; Lemuridae
Exons: 2
Source: RefSeq, a predicted model, not a curated record